UACGUAGGGGGCAAGCGUUGUCCGGAAUCAUUGGGCGUAAAGAGCGUGUAGGCGGCCCGAUAAGUCCGCUGUGAAAGUCCAGGGCUCAACCCUGGAAUGCCGGUGGAUACUGUCGGGCUCGAAUCCGGAAGAGGAGUGUGGAAUUCCUGGUGUAGCGGUGAAAUGCGCAGAUAUCAGGAGGAACACCAAUGGCGAAGGCAGCACUCUGGGACGUGACUGACGCUGAGACGCGAAAGCGUGGGGAGCAAACAGG
This 253-nucleotide ribosomal RNA is filed under the name uncultured bacterium. RNAcentral describes it as "partial 16S ribosomal RNA". It matches the Rfam family "Bacterial small subunit ribosomal RNA", at positions 524 to 776 of the family's 1533-position model. The record is from RNAcentral.